This 478-nucleotide ribosomal RNA is filed under the name uncultured bacterium. RNAcentral describes it as "partial 16S ribosomal RNA". It matches the Rfam family "Bacterial small subunit ribosomal RNA", at positions 28 to 507 of the family's 1533-position model. The record is from RNAcentral.
GAUGAACGCUAGCGGCAGGCCUAACACAUGCAAGUCGAGGGAGAAGCCCUUUCGGGGGCAGAAACCGGCGCACGGGUGCGUAACGCGUAUGCAACCUACCUUUCACAGGGGGAUAGCCCGAAGAAAUUUGGAUUAAUACCCCAUAAUAUUAUUGGAUGGCAUCGUUUGAUAAUUAAAACUGCGGUGGUGAAAGAUGGGCAUGCGUCCUAUUAGCUAGUUGGAGUGGUAACGGCACCCCAAGGCUACGAUAGGUAGGGGUCCUGAGAGGGAGAUCCCCCACACUGGUACUGAGACAGGGACCAGACUCCUACGGGAGGCAGCAGUGAGGAAUAUUGGUCAAUGGUCGGAAGACUGAACCAGCCAUGCCGCGUGCAGGAAGAAUGCCUUAUGGGUUGUAAACUGCUUUUAUAUGGGAAGAAUAAGGCGUACGUGUACGUUGAUGACGGUACCAUAUGAAUAAGCAUCGGCUAACUCCGUG